UAGGGAAUAUUGGACAAUGGGGGGAACCCUGAUGCAGCGACGCCGCGUGAGCGAUGAAGCCCUUCGGGGCGUAAAGCUCUUUCGACCGGAACGAUAAUGACGGUACCGGGAGAAGAAGCUGCGGCUAACUACGUGCCAGCAGCCGCGGUAAUACGUAGGCAGCAAGCGUUGUUCGGAGUUACUGGGCGUAAAGAGUGCGUAGGCGGUUUUCUAAGUUCGGUGUGAAAUCUCCCGGCUUAACUGGGAGGGUGCGCCGAAGACUGGGAAGCUGGAGUGUGGGAAAGGCAGGCGGAAUUCCUGGUGUAGCGGUGAAAUGCGUAGAUAUCAGGAGGAACACCGGCGGUGUAGACGGCUUGCUAGACCAUAACUGACGCUGAGGCACGAAAGCGUGGGUAGCAAACA
Molecule: ribosomal RNA, 402 nt
Filed under: uncultured bacterium
Lineage: Bacteria
Description: bacterial SSU rRNA
Rfam family: Bacterial small subunit ribosomal RNA
Source: RNAcentral